This 229-nucleotide unclassified non-coding RNA is filed under the name Paradevriesia pseudoamericana. RNAcentral's name for it is "Devriesia pseudoamericana partial internal transcribed spacer region". The stretch from base 1 to 46 matches the Rfam family "Eukaryotic small subunit ribosomal RNA", at positions 1786 to 1831 of the family's 1831-position model. Lineage: Eukaryota; Fungi; Ascomycota; Dothideomycetes; Capnodiales; Paradevriesiaceae. The record is from RNAcentral.
AAGUCGUAACAAGGUCUCCGUAGGUGAACCUGCGGAGGGAUCAUUACCGAGUGCGGGCCCUCGUGGCCCAACCUCCCAACCCUUUGUCGAUGAAUAUCUGUUGCCUCGGGGGGCGACCCGGCCCCCGCGCCGCGAGUCCCCCGGAGGUCCAACCAACACUGCGUCUUUGCGUCGGAGUAUUGAAACACAAUCAAUCAAAACUUUCAACAACGGAUCUCUUGGUUCUGGC